CGCACAUUGCGCCCGCCAGCAUUCUGGCGGGCAUGCCUGUUCGAGCGUCAUUUCAACCCUCAAGCCCCAGCGGUUUGGUGUUGGUGGCCGGGUGGCCCUCGUGCUGCCCGCCGCCGAAAUUCAGGGGCGGUCGCCUCGCGGUAACCAUUACGCAGUAGUAACAUCUCGUAACUGGGACGCGGAGCGGCCACGCCUAACCCCAAUUAUUUCUUAGAGUUGACCUCGGAUCAGGUAGGGAUACCCGCUGAACUUAA
This 254-nucleotide unclassified non-coding RNA is filed under the name Fusarium sp. Its description in RNAcentral is "partial contains 5.8S ribosomal RNA, internal transcribed spacer 2, and large subunit ribosomal RNA". Lineage: Eukaryota; Fungi; Ascomycota; Sordariomycetes; Hypocreales; Nectriaceae. The record is from RNAcentral.